GAGGAAUCAGACUCAAAAAAGGUUAAGUAAAGUUCCAAGUUCACAGGUGCUUGGCAAGUAGCAGAGUCAGGAUUUGAACUAAGAUCAUUAGGACUCAAGGUUUGAAUGCAAUUCUAAGGAGAGGCUGUUAAAUCGAAGAAGGUAGAGCUCAGAAGCUGAAUGCAUUGCCCAAACUUAUGCUCAGGAAGAAAAUGUGGGAGAUGAGGAUUUACUGAUGAAGAAACUUUUAGAAAUUUCCUACUGCCAAAGAUGCAAACAUGUGACAUUUAUGAAAGGGGUUAUGGUGUUCUGAUGAUGACAAGUCCACAAAGCAAAUUCCAAUCUACGAUGUGACAGAGAAAAGGUUUUGUUCAAGGGGAAAGGGCAUGUGUCUUUUGUGGAUUCCUGGUUCAUGGUGGUAUCUGGAUAAGGAAGAAAGGCUGUCCCUGCACUUUUGACUGUGGGUUGCUUGGCUGCAUGUCCCAGUUCAGAUUCCAACACACCCUAUGUUGAAGAAGAAGCUUACAAGUCUGAACUUUGGUUUGGGCAACUGAGAAUGAAAGCAUUUUUCAUCUGAGCUUUCUGUGCUUUAUGAACACCUCAAGGGAAACACCUUUAAUACUGGAGCCCUAAUAAAGAGCAUAAGAAAAUUUGUUUUUCUGAUGAA
Molecule: long non-coding RNA, 646 nt
Filed under: Vulpes vulpes (red fox)
Lineage: Eukaryota; Metazoa; Chordata; Mammalia; Carnivora; Canidae
Description: lncRNA (ENSVVUG00000017037.1)
Source: RNAcentral